CGCGGCUGGCUGGGCGCCUGGCUUUGCGCGCAACUGGUGGCGGGGUCCUCCUUCUCCUCCUCGUCCGGGCGGGGUGGUCACGCCCGGCGGUGGCGGCUCCUGCACAGUGCCGAGGCCGGCCAGGCGAAGUUGGGCAGCGGCGAGGAGGGGUGGCGUUGCUGCUGCUGCUCCCUCUUCCCAGUAUGCCGGCGUCUCCCCAGUUGCCUCGGCGGCGACGGCAAGCGGGCGGGCGGCAGCGGCAGCCGAAGAAGCGCGUGUGAGCGACCGGAGAGCUCCUCUCCACUCACAAGGAUGCUGGGGGGCGAUGCCUGGCGGCAGGGAGGACGAGAUUUGCCAGAAAGCGCUGAAGCUGCUGGUCGAGCUCUGCUCCGACGGGACGGUGGAGAACGACCGCUGCCUCGAGUUCAACUACUACCUGCGGGACAGCGGCAGACCCCGGCCCACAGACUCCGAUAUCACAGUCAGUUUACUGUCCUUAGUUGUCACAGCAUGUGGACUUGCUUUGUUUGGGGUGUCUCUGUUUGUGUCCUGGAAGCUGUGUUGGGUUCCUUGGCGAGAACGUGGCCUGCCUGGAAACAAAGACAAGCAGGAGUCCCUGAACUAUACAGACACAGAGACCAAUGACCACGAGUAUAGCGAGGAUUACUUGGGACAGCCUACCACCUACCCCGACUCUUCCAUGAAGAUUAGCCACACAUCCCCUGACAUCCCUUUGGACGCUAAGGCAGGGACCAAGGAAAACUGUGUGCAUAAUGUCCGGAUGCAUCGACAGAUCACGGAGCCAACUCCUUCUGCGCGGCACAAUUCAUUCCGAAGGCAGCUCAAUCUCUCAAACCCAGACUUCAACAUCCAGCAGAUCCAAAAGCAGGAGCAGCUGACAGGGAUUGGGCGCAUCAAGCCUGAGCUGUAUAAACAAAGAUCGGUGGACACAGAUGAUGGGAGGAGGAACAAUAGCAAAUCUUGUGGGAAGCUCAACUUUAUUGUGAAAUACGAUUGUGACUUGGAGCAACUGAUAGUGAAGAUUCACAAAGCUGUCAACCUGCCAGCAAAGGACUUCUCUGGGACUUCAGACCCCUAUGUCAAGAUCUACUUACUUCCAGAUAGGAAAACAAAACACCAGACUAAAGUGCAUAGAAAGACCCUAAACCCAGUGUUUGAUGAAGUUUUUUUAUUUCCUGUUCCUUACAAUGAUUUGAGCACGAGGAAGCUCCACUUCUCUGUAUAUGACUUUGACCGAUUCUCCAGGCAUGACUUGAUUGGCCAAGUGAUAGUGGAUAAUUUUUUAGAGUUGUCAGACUUUCCCAGGGAGUGUAAUCUUUGGAAGGAUAUUGAAUAUGUCACCAAUGACAAAGUGGAUCUUGGCGAGUUGAUGUUUUCACUUUGCUAUCUUCCAACUGCUGGUAGACUAACUAUUACUAUAAUAAAAGCUAGAAAUUUGAAGGCCAUGGACAUAACAGGAGCAUCAGAUCCCUACGUGAAGGUUUCACUAAUGUGUGAAGGGAGACGAUUGAAGAAGAGGAAGACUUCCACUAAGAGGAACACCCUUAAUCCUGUUUAUAAUGAAGCCAUAGUCUUUGAUGUCCCUCCAGAAAACAUUGACCAAAUUAACUUGUUUAUAGCCGUUAUGGAUUAUGACCGUGUAGGUCACAAUGAGGUCAUUGGAGUCUGUCAAGUAGGCAACGAUGCGGAAAGCCUUGGGCGAGACCACUGGAACGAAAUGCUCUCCUACCCUCGGAAGCCCAUUGCUCACUGGCAUUUGCUUGCAGAGGGCCCUAUUCCACAGAAAUGUUAUGCGGGCCUUCUGCGCAUGGAUGGCUGCCGAAGAGGCUUCCUCACUCUUUUAACCUAUUCAGCAGAAAUUUGGCAUUCCUGUUGAACCCUUUCUUAGCCAUUUUCUCAGGGGCCAUUCCGCAGAGUGUCCAAAGGGCUCUGAUCCUAAAUGGUUUGAAAAAUCUGAGCCCCCGGUCAUCUCCCUUUGGGGAAGGCCGAAUAAACUGUAGUCCAAUUAGCAAAUCUUGGAGAGAGACUUUCAACACAGCAGCAACACCUCAUCUGGAGAAAAACAAACAAACAAACCACUAAAGCACUUUUUACAUGUGGGUUGGGCAAGGAACUGCAGCUGGAAGCAAGCCUGGGUCCUGCAAUUCUCUCAAAGGGCCUCCAUCUCCGUGAAGGGAAAUGAACUGUGUACAUCCAAAGGACUGUGAUGGGGCCACACUCAGGAAGGAUGGGCAACACGGAUGCACACCUCCACUGCUAAAUAAGCUAACAAAAAUGACGCAGACAAGGCACGUAUAGAAGAUGGACUGUAAGCACCCGGGCUCUUUUCCCCCUCUGUUUGUUUUUCAUUUCCUUACUGUUUCUGUUUUCCUUUGGCCGCUGCAGAGUGAAUACAGGUGGCUAACAAAUAGAAACACACCAUGGUGUGCUUGUAGCUGCUUGGAAAGCUGGCUGGCUUUCUCAUCUUGCCAGAUCAGGAGGCCUGUACCACCACACCUGAUUUGAGGAGGAGGGAGUGGUAAAAACCAUUGUGAUGACAGCGCUCCUCGGGCAUUCUGCAUAGUCGUGAUCCACACACUUUGCUUCAUCACUUUCCACACGAUGAUUUAAAUAAGUGCAGUGGUACUUCGGGUUAAGUAUUUAAUUUGUUCCGGAGGUCUGUUCUUAACCUGAAACUGUUCUUAACCUGAAGCACCACUUUAGCUAAUGCGGCCUCCUGCUGCCGCCGCGCCGCCGGGGCACAAUUUCUGUUCUCAUCCUGAAGCAAAGUUCUUAACUUGAAGCACUAUUUCUGGGUUAGUGGAGUUUGUAACCUGAAGCGUAUGUAACCUGAAGCGUAUGUAACCCGAGGUACCACUGUGUUUUAAAACAAGCGGGGAACCUCCAUGGGUAGAAGUAACUACCUGGCUCAUAAAUACACCAUCCAAUUCACCUUUGUGUGAACCACUAAAGAGGGCUGGUGUGGGAGGAUGAAACACAGCUAGCUUCCUAAGUGGUUACAAGCACACCAGGAUGCAAAUCAGUGAUGGGGAGCCCUCAGCCUUGCAGAUGAUGUUGGGUGCCCAACUUCCAUCAAACCAGUCAUGCUCAAGGAUUGUGGGAGUUGUAGCCCAGCAAAAUCUGGAGGGCCUCGGGUUCUCUACCCCUGAUGUGCAGGCACAUGACUUGGUAAACAGUAAUCUGUAUUCACCCAUAAUUAUCUCUCAAACUUGCAAUGUUUUGUUUGGCUGCAUGCUGGAUAGUCCUCCUUCAUUUUUAUUUUUCUUAUUUUAGGCUCAUCACAAAAGUAUGUAAAGAGAUCUGUUGUAUUUAAAUAUGACUUUGCUUUGAUGACACACAGACAUUGUACUAUACUUUUAAUAUUUGUUGUUCAAUGAGUAGUCCUGGUACAUCUAUGUUCAGUGUCUAAUUUGGAGCGUAAACCCACAUCCUUGUCAAGGCUUUGUUAGUUUGGUGGACUUUUUUUCUCUUCGUUCAGUAGAGGUAAUGCAUGAUUGAUUUGCAGUAACAGUUUGGGGGCGAAAUAAAUUUAACAUUUCUUAAUUUUAUAAAAAAGUAUAACGUUCUUAUAAACACAAGUAAAAUGUACUGUGGUUUCAUUUAUAUAGAUCUAGUCUGUAUGAAUUAUUUUGUUCUUAAUAAAAUGACGUAAGAAAUUG
Podarcis raffonei (Aeolian wall lizard) is the source of this 3659-nucleotide RNA transcript. It is a transcript of the gene named synaptotagmin 9, with no coding region annotated. The record is from RefSeq and is a predicted model, not a curated record. The transcript is spliced from 9 exons. NCBI's taxonomy places the organism in Eukaryota, Metazoa, Chordata, Lepidosauria, Squamata, Lacertidae.